UCUGGAUUCUCGCCGUAGACAUGAUUUACUUGGAUUUGCAUCUAAUUUCUUGAAACGGUGAAAGAAAAGCUUACGGCCUUUAACCUCUUUAAUUAAAAGAGUUCGAAAGAACAUUAACCGCAACAUGAACUUUUUGUAUUGAUAGCUAUCCAGGUCAAGAUCACUUGUAAAUGUACCGGUAGCUUACAACAUUUAACCUUUCUAAUUAAAAGUCUCGAAAUAACAUAAACCCUAACUCGAUCAUUUUGCGCCGACGGAAAGAACAUAAACCCCAACUUGAUCUUUUUGUAUUGAUAGCGAUCCAGGUCGAGAUCACUAGUACAUGUACCGAUAGCUUACAACCUUUAAACCUUUCUAAUUCAAAGUCUCGAAAUAGCAUAAACCCUAACUCGAUCUUUUUGCGCUGAGGGAAAGAACACAAACCCCAACUUGAUCUUUUUGUAGUGAUUACGAUCCAG
RNAcentral lists this long non-coding RNA (458 nucleotides) under Musa acuminata (dwarf banana). Its description in RNAcentral is "long non-coding RNA (MACU_LNC003605)". The record is from RNAcentral. Lineage: Eukaryota; Viridiplantae; Streptophyta; Magnoliopsida; Zingiberales; Musaceae.